UUGAUUUAUAUUUUAUUAUAUUCCCCUGGAAUUAAAUUCCAAUCAAUCAAUCACUCAAUCAAUAACUAGUCAACACGCUACAAGGAUGUUACAGCUGCUGAGGAAGUGACUGUAAAUUUGACAUCCUAAUUAUCCGUGACAAUCCAUCUCUGUAUGUUUUUCCUAUUUUGGAAAGUCUUGGAAAUCCAAUAGUGGAUUUGCCUUGUGAAGCUGAAGUUAAUGGGAAUGGAAAAAUAAUAUUUGCUGUGCUACACUUCUGUGUUUCACACCUGGAAAUGUGAAAAGAGUCCAUUAUCUUGUUUCAAAUGGUUUUGUCUCUUAUUUAAAUUUUACACAUUUCCCCAUGUUUCAAAGAAAGUAAAAAAUAAAAAAAUUGCACUGAAAUCCCUAAGACAGCCAGACAAAAUCCACUUAAAAGAAAAUAGCUUUCAAUUCAAUAUGUUUUAUUGUUGGCUAUAGACAGGAUCUAAAGCUUAAAGGUCACUUAGAAGUCUGCAAAUAAGAGCAAGUCAAUUGCAAUUCCUCGAUUUAAGCCUAAGGGGGCUAAGCAAUUUCAAUUGGAACGUGACACUAAAAGCACUUCUUAUCUAAGGAAGAUUAACCUCAAACUAAGGUCUUACCUUUUUAAUUCUGCAUAUCCAUGUGCCCCUGUGUGUGCAUGGGUGCAAACGUACAGCACGCAUGGACGUGUGCUUUCAUACCAGCAGUUAAGGCCCAUAAUUUCACAUGCAGAUUUGAGUGCACUUCCUGUACCUCCCAGCUAGCCUUAAUUCACUUCUCAUCAGAAUGUUACAAGAAAAAUCUUUACAAUGAAGAGCUGGUAUAAAAUACCUCGGCCAGUUGUCACAGAUCACUCGUGGAAAACAUAUUAGAUCCAAGUGCAUUAUUAAUCCACAAAAAACAAAGAUCUAAAAACAGAGCAACAAGCAGAAACAGCGGCAAAAGGUAAUCCACAAACAGCAUAAUAGAAAACAAUACUGAAGCAAACAAGGGCUAACAGAACAUGGUACAUAUAGGGAACUAAUAAGACUAAAUGACACACAGAAGAGUGCCCUCUGAUGACUGGGAUUUUAACCAGAAAAAGGAGACAUAAAAAGCAAAGGAAGGGCCAACCACCAACCAUUAAGAAUGUUGUAACAGGUACAACCACUGCAAUAUUUACUAUUCUGGUACAUUUUAGGGGAUUUGACAGUAACCAUGAUUGAAUUUCGAAUUUUUUGAUCUUCAGGGUUUUCAAAAUAGCAGAGUGGGCCAUUGUGGCCUACGCUGAGAGACAACAAAGGAACAACACAACGGGGGAGUCUGUUUUCAUCUAUACCAACAGCAAUAACACAAGGAUCCAUUUGAGGGGCCCGUCAGUAAAGAUGGAAUAGUCUUAACUGUACAUAUUUAGUGAAAACUCCUCUGUUUACUGUCCUGGGAAAUGUUGAACUCAAGUUGAACAACAUUUGGUAACACCUAAAGAGAUUUAUUUGCAAUACAAUUUUGUUUGAAUGCCCUUCAAAUCUUUUAUAAAAUUUCUCAUAAAAUUAGGGGGUAAAAAAGGUCAUAUUUGUUUAUAAUUGUUUUCUGAAGAAAAAGAAUCAUGCAGCAUAAUGAUGCAUUGUAGUCUGUAGCAAGUGUUAACAAAUUGUUAGUAGAAGUGCAUUCAUUGUAUUCCCAAUCUCAGUAUCUUGAUUAUUUCUGCUCACUGUACGGGGAACAGCUCAGAUCAAAAAUAAUGUAAAGAUAUUAGCUAAGAAGAGAGAAAUAAAAGAUGAACGCUUUAAUGAUGCUCUUCAACAAUGAAUAACUGGCUUUUUUACUUUAAAGAUUAUUGCACUUUGAAUUUCUUGAACUUUUUCGAAAAGUAUCUUGCAAUGGUUUAAUAAGAUGCAGAGCAGAUGAAGCCAGGUAACAUCUUGUAAUCCCACAUAAGCUCUAUUCCACAUCAAGCGGAUAGAGGAUUUCACCUGGGCUGGCCAGUAAAGUCACGACUUUUACUAGGAAGCUUAUAUGACGGAACUCAUUAGGUUAAAACAAUGUUGAGUGUAUUUGUGUAUCACUGAUUCUUGAGAAGCAGGACAAAACAGAGUGCAAAAUUGAAAUAAAGAAAUAAAUAAAACUUGUUCUCAGACAAAUUAAACUGGAUAUAUGUAUCUUAUAUUUACUAUGCUAUUGAGCUAUGGUUUGAUGCAGGCUCCCAACUUUUCUCUUUUUUUUUUUUAAUCGAAAUUUUACCUUGGAUUGUGUGAUAUAAUUUUAACUUUAUUUUUAACAGCAAUCAAGAUGCUUUUGACAUUUCAAAACACAUUCUCAUGUUAGCAGACAGAUUAAACUUUCACAAGUGACCAGAGUUGAAACGUACACAAAGUUCACGUAGUAGCAGUUGUGUUUUUUUCCAUUGAUGCUAGAUGCUAAUAGAACCUGCUUCAGGAGAAUAAAAUGAUCUAAAUAUUUCAAAUAAUUUCCUCAGAAAUUGGAAGAUGGUGUUGCCAUAUCAUGGUUGUAACACAGGAAAUAUUAACAUCAGGAUUUAAAAUAUUCUAAAACUAUAAAACUUACCAGAGCCUGUCUGACACUGAUGUACUCUGCAGAGGUGGAAUGUGGCAAGGGGGUCCUUUGUGACCGCUGCCACUGAUAUACACUGAGAAACCCUUUUUUUACACUUUAAAGAAUUUCUGAAGGUGUUGACAAAAAGAUAUGAGAAUUGAUAUGAGAUAGUAUUAAGUGUUGCUUUUGAUAAAACUAGCUGCGUUUUUUUUUUCAUUAUUUUUUUAUUUUUUUUAUCCGUUAUAUAAGCAUAUAAAUGAUUAAACCCUUCUCUGUGGACACACUGUUUUAGAUGUAGUGAGAAGACAAUAAGUGUCAUAGAUUUGAUAUAAUAAUGAUAAAAUUAAAUUGAAGGGGAUAAUUGUGUUAAAUAGGCAUUCUAUUAUUAAUCCCCAUAACAUUUACAGUUGAAAAUAGCCUAUUUUCAUUUUUAAACUUAAAAACAGUUACAAUUGCUGGACAUGUUUUGUCCCAUGUCUUGAGAAUGAGUGGUAUAUUAGUACAUUUGUGUGAGUGUAGGCUGACUGUUGUGGAUUCUGCAUUGCUCAUGUGCAUGUGUAUAUGUUUGGG
Molecule: long non-coding RNA, 3102 nt
Organism: Cyprinus carpio carpio
Lineage: Eukaryota; Metazoa; Chordata; Actinopteri; Cypriniformes; Cyprinidae
Source: Ensembl